RNAcentral lists this small RNA (1347 nucleotides) under Pan troglodytes (chimpanzee). Its description in RNAcentral is "retained intron". The record is from RNAcentral. Lineage: Eukaryota; Metazoa; Chordata; Mammalia; Primates; Hominidae.
UGAGCCACCACACCCAGCCUAAAAAAAUUUUUUUUUAUUUAAAAGAAGAAAAAGGCUGGGCACAGUGGCUCACCGUCAAUCCCAGCACUUUGGGAGGUCAAGUUUCACUCCCAAAGUGCUGGGAUUACAAGCGUGAGCCACCACGCCCAGUACGAUUUGUAUUUUUAAUAAAUAUUUUAAUGUUGUAGAAGAAAAAAUAUUGCCAAGCAUAGCAUUUUUCUCCCCACCCCUUCUUACCUGUUUUAUGACACAGGGCACAAUAUUGGCCAUAGGCAAGAAGGGUGAGGCUGAGCUCACUUGCCGUUUUUUUUUUUUUUGAGGAAUGGGUACCAAAUUUAUUUGUUAAUUUCUUGCAUUUGAAGUACACAGUCACAUCCUUGGCCUGAAAUUCUUUGCUGUAGCCCUUCACUGUGACACAACUGCAACCAACCACUUUACAAAGUUUUCCUUGUCUAUCAGUUUUACAAAGGCUUAGCCAUGUCUCUGGUUUCUUAAGGUCAUCAACCUUAAUUGGGUUGAUUUGGUGUUCGGCACAAAGGGCCACCCCUAGCUUGACAUACAUAGGCUCUUCACAUUUGGAUGCAAGCACACAAAGAUGGGCUUGGCCCUUGUCUAAGGCUUUGGCAGCUUUGCAGGUUCCACCUGCUAGGCCAUCAUGGCUGAGGGCGGUCUUCAGUCUCUUGUAAAGCAGUAUUAAUAUCCAUUACACCUCCAGCAGCGUGUCUUCCUUGGUCAUGGUGGUGGGUUACAGGUGAAGGUGAAUCUUGAGCGCACUCAAGCUUCUGUCUCUGAGCAUGUUGUCCAUGGCAGAGAAAGAGAGUUGCCUUUCUUUUCUUAACUGCAGGUAGUGGGCAGCAGUCAGUGACAGGUGUAACCUCUGUGGAUGACAGCAACAGUUAUUGGAGGAUACGGGGGAAGAGUGCCACAGUGUGUGAGAGGGGAACCCCCAUCAAGUGUGGCCAGCCCAUCCGGCUGACACAUGUCAACACUGGCCGAAACCUCCAUAGUCACCACUUCACUUCACCUCUUUCUGGAAACCAGGAAGUGAGUGCUUUUGGUGAGGAAGGUGAAGGUGAUUAUCUGGAUGACUGGACAGUGCUCUGUAACGGACCCUACUGGGUGAGAGAUGGUGAGGUGCGGUUCAAACACUCUUCCACUGAGGUACUGCUGUCUGUCACAGGAGAACAAUAUGGUCGACCUAUCAGUGGGCAAAAAGAGGUGCAUGGCAUGGCCCAGCCAAGUCAGAACAGCUACUGGAAAGCCAUGGAAGGCAUCUUCAUGAAGCCCAGUGAGUUGUUGAAGGCAGAAGCCCACCAUGCAGAGCUAUGAAUCUAGAGGCUCUGAGCC